This 497-nucleotide ribosomal RNA is filed under the name uncultured bacterium. RNAcentral describes it as "partial 16S ribosomal RNA". It matches the Rfam family "Bacterial small subunit ribosomal RNA", at positions 28 to 507 of the family's 1533-position model. The record is from RNAcentral.
GAUGAACGCUGGCGGCGUGCCUAAUACAUGCGAGUCGAGCGAACGGACGAGAAGCUUGCUUUUCUGAUGUUAGCGGCGGACGGGUGAGUAACACGUGGAUAACCUACCUAUAAGACUGGGAUAACUUCGGGAAACCGGAGCUAAUACCGGAUAAUAUUUUGAACCGCAUGGUUCAAAAGUGAAAGACGGUCUUGCUGUCACUUAUAGAUGGAUCCGCGCUGCAUUAGCUAGUUGGUAAGGUAACGGCUUACCAAGGCAACGAUGCAUAGCCGACCUGAGAGGGUGAUCGGCCACACUAGAACUGAGACACGGUCCAGACUCCUACGGGAGGCAGCAGUAGGGAAUCUUCCGCAAUGGGCGAAAGCCUGACGGAGCAACGCCGCGUGAGUGAUGAAGGUCUUCGGAUCGUAAAACUCUGUUAUUAGGGAAGAACAUAUGUGUAAGUAACUGUGCACAUCUUGACGGUACCUAAUCAGAAAGCAACGGCUAACUACGUG